Long non-coding RNA from Passer domesticus (house sparrow), 4506 nucleotides. RefSeq lists it as uncharacterized. Lineage: Eukaryota; Metazoa; Chordata; Aves; Passeriformes; Passeridae. The transcript has 4 exons. The record is from RefSeq and is a predicted model, not a curated record.
CAGGGGCAGCUGAGAGUCCUGGGGGCCCCUGAAUGCCCCUGAACUCCCUGCAGGAUUGGCAGGAGGAGCUGCAGCUGAAAUGUCCUUGCACCACAGCUCCUGUCCCUCCUAAGACUUGGAAGUAUCCCGAACUUUGAAGUUUUCAUGGAGCUGAGUCAGAGAAAUGAAUCAUUUGACUUCAAGCACCUGUGCUGACCUCCAGGAGUCCCCUGAGGCUGCAUUCUGCUUGUAUCUCAGCAGCUGAGACAGUUUUGCUGGGAAAUCCUGGAGGAUUCCUGCCCUGGGUGAUGGCAGCCUCUGCCACGCUGCUGGAAAUCAGGAGCUGCACUGGGCUCUGAACAUCUGAGACCCACAGGGACAGGGAAAUAUCCCAGCUGCUUCUCCUUGGGCACAGGGAUUUGCCUGGGUUUGUUACAGAUACUGGAAGGAUGAGCGUGGACCAGGAGCUUUGGAUGUUUUGGGAAGAGGAAAAAUGAACAAUGAGAAUAUUUUUGAUGGAAAUUUGCCCAACAGGUCCCUGUCAAGGCUUCAGUCACCCCCAAAUCCACAGGAUCUCCCCUCACUCCCGGUGUUCUCCCACUCCCGGCUGCCGUUCUGGGAUCCCUCUGUAGGUGGAAGUGUUGCCGAGCCCAGCGAGGCUCCGGCUCUGCCGGGGCUGCACACACCGAGGGCCACCGAGGUGAGCAGGGGACAAAUGUCCUGCCCUGUCCCCGGGGCUGGACAGCCCCAUUCCAGCUGCUGGGAGCCGGGGAUGGAUCAAAGCCUCCACUGGCCGCCAGCGGUGGGAGAUUCCCCGGAGUGAGCAGGGACGGGGACAGCUCCGGGACAGCCCUGAGUGACCCAGAGGGGAGGGAAUGGGGUCCCUCACCAUGGCCCCGGCUCCUCCAGCUGUGCCAGAGGAGCUGUGGCAGGACAUUCCCCAUCCCUGGAAUGUUCCAGGCCAGGGUGAUCCUCUGAGGCCCGGCAGGCCCAGGGCUGUGCUCAGGAGCCCAGGGGGAAAUCCACAGCAAAAUGACCUUAAACCAAGAGAAUCUCCUGAAAGGCCCUCACAGAUUUAAUUACCCCUGCUCGGGGAUUGCUGCGCUUCCCAAAGUUCCAUGUGACUUGGGAGCCCAGGUUUGUAUGGAGCAAUCGGGAGCUGAGACUCAAAUGCCUGAGGCCCCGUUCUAAAGUGAUUUAGAGGGUGAGAAGCUGAGGUUUUAUUCAAAGCCUGAAGGUUUUUCUAUGCCUCAAUACCUGUUUAAAGGGUGAGAAGCUGAGGUUUUGUUCAAAGCCUGAAGGCUUUUCUAUGCCUCAAUACCUCUAAAAAAGGAAACACUUCCAGCAUCUUUCUGCCAGGUGGAGAUGGUUCAAAGUUUGCCCUCCAUGCUGAGGAGACAGCUGGCCUGAGGACACCGCGGGGUGACAGCGACUGAGACGGGACAGAGUGCAGGGGAGAGGCUGGAGCUGUCACCUGUCCCUUCCAAGGGAAUCAAACACCUCCUCCGAGGGCACGGAGCACCCUCCUUCCUGCCCCUCAGCAUCUCCCGGCAGGCUGGGAGCCUGGGCCAGCCCAGCCCCAAACCAGCCUCCCGAAUUCCGUGUUUUUCUCCACCAGGAUGCUCAGAACGCCGCGGCCAGGCAGGGUGAGAGCACGGUAGUGCUUUGCCGUCGAGGAAACCGCAAGAACCAGCGGAGAUGUUAUCUCUGACAUCUGGCUCCCAUCAGGGAGCUCUGGCUGCCGACAGGAAUGGACGGGAUGGCCCCGGGGCUGCUUGUUGUUCCAGGGCUCCUCGUGGCUCCCCCGGCAACAGCGAAGCCGACGCGGGGAUGCCAGAGCUGGGGACACAAAGGCAGCAGGGCCACCCUUCCCCUGCCCUCUGCAGAGCCAGCGGCGACGUGUCCUCAGCCACCUUUAACCCCAGGUGAGACUGGCUCAGCCAGCCCCACCCUGCCACGGCAGGGGCACCUCCCACUGCCCCAGGUGCUCCCAGCCCUGUCCAGCCCAGCUUGGGCACUGCCAGGGACACGGGGGCAGCCACAGCUCUGUGGGCACCCCGGGCACUGCGUGUCCUGCUCUCAGGGUUGUGGGGACCGUGAGAUUUAAGGUCCCAGAAUAAUUUUCCCUGGGUCAGGCUAAGAGGAGACUUUUGCCUUCUGGGAUCUGUGCAUCUCCUGCACACAUCCUGCUCUGUGCCAGGAGCCUGCCCAAGCUGUUUUGCUCUCCUUUUAUUUCAGGCACUGGCUUUGGAUUAAAUGCUGGUGAUCUGAAGCCUGAGUUGUGCUGUGAUCCAGGGGACGGGAUGUCCCACAGAUCCAGGGAGAUAAUGUUCCAGAGAUCCAGGAGAGGGGGCGUUCCACAGAUCCAGGGAGGGGAUGUCCCACAGAUCCAGGAGAGGGGAUGUCCCACAGAUCCAGGAGAGGGGAUCUGAGCCCUGGUUGCAGCGCCCUCCUGCGCGGCCCUGCCCAGCCAUGGCUCCCCCAGGUCUCUGUUGCUCCAGAGUCAGGCACACACAGAUCCUCUCCUGAUGGGAGUCCUGUGAACAAGGGACUGUUUCCCUGUCAGAUGGAUCUUCAGCAGGUUUGGAACAUCCUCACCCAGAGCCAGCCAGAGGAAAGGAUUUCUGUGGAUUUCUAUGAAUACAGAAAAUCCUGGAAAAUCCAUAGGAAAUCCUGGUGUCCAGAACCAACCUUUCACCCAGAGAUCAGAAACCCAAGUUCUCCCUGUGCCCAGCUUGAGCAGAACUUCGUGGUGAUUCAAAUGACCGCUCAGUCCCGGAAAGUUCAAACGAGCCCUGCAGCCAGCACAGUGCACAGGAAACAGCUGCGGAGAGGAUGCUGGAGCGGAUUUCCAUAAAAGCCGAUGAUUCAUGGAAACGUUCAGUGAGAGGGGCCAGCCUCGGGCUCCUGAGGAGCUUCUCCUCCUGACAGACACGAUUCCCGAAUUCCCAGUGCCCGCCCCAGCACCGGCCGUGGGGCGGAGCAGAGGGAACUCCCGACAUCCAGCCUGGGGGAUCUGGGGGAUGCUACAUCCCCAAUUCCUGCUGCCAGUGAAACGCUGCUCAGCUGCCCUGGACUGGGGAAAGGGAUGUCAGGAGAGGGCAGUGCCUGUGUUACAGGGGCUGGAGGGACAGGACACAGGGAAUGGCUCCCGCUGCCAGAGGGCAGGGAUGGAUGGGAGAUUGGGAACUGGGAAUUGUUCCCUGGGAGAGUGGGCAGGCCCUGGCACAGGGUGCCCAGAGCAGCUGGGGCUGCCCCUGGAUCCCUGGCAGUGCCCAAGGCCAGGCUGGACACUGGGGCUGGAGCACCUGGGAUGUGGGAGGUGUCCCUGCCAUGGCAGGGGUGGCACUGGAUGGGCUUUAAGGUCCUUCCAACUCAACGCAGUCUGUGACGAUGGUGAUGGUGAAGGACAUCUGGGCAGGACAGAAGAACCUGCUGCAUUCCGUGGCUCUCCAGGCUCCUUUCCUCUGUGCCCACCAGAUUUCUUCCAGGACUCUUUCCCCGGAGCUCCAAGCAGGUACUGGCAGCUGGGCAUUGCCCCCUGGAGUGGUGCCAGGCCAAACCAAACCACUUUCCACAUCCCAUAAAUCAGGAGAUGGAAAAUCCCCUUUGGGGCACUGGGUUCAGCUGCUCCUGCAGCGCAGGGCUGCUCCUGCCAGGACAUUUUCCAUGGAUAUUUCCCACCCACUUGGAAUGACUCAAGCACAGGGGCUCCAGCACUGCAGAGAUCCUCUCUGGCUGCACAGCUCCAGGGGAGGGCAUUUUCCUCUCCCUCACACUGAGAUUUUCCUUUCCAGAUGUCAGCUCUUUCCUCCCAUCUGGACCCCCUGGGUUAUUCCCCCUUUCCCUGACGUUUCCCACCCUGUGUUCAUUCCGUGCCUGGCACCAGUGCCUGAGCCCUGCUGCUCUCAGCCACAUCCCACUGCAGGGAACAGAGGAAACGUGGCCUCAGGGACACCCUGGGCCAGCCCCCUCAGUGGAAGGGUCUCCAUGCCCCUGAGAGGUCUGGCGGCACCUGUGCCCCUGCCCUGGCACCGAGCCCUGUCCCCACCCUGGGAGGAGCAGGGUGGGAUCGCUCUGGGCACGGCUGAUCCCGAGCCUGGAGGGAGAACAAUCCGUGGGAGCUGGCCACGACCUGGGAGCAGCUCCCAGGGCAAGGCCAGAUGCUCCACACAAAUGACAUUCCUGGUGUGAAAAUCCCCCCACAUUAAUCUCAGGCAGUGCCCUUUUUAUCAUCCCACCCCAAUGAAUUGUGUGUGUGCUGUGAGGAUGAAACCCCUGGGUCAGUGUUUCACACCAUCACAGCUGUUUGGGGUUUGUUCUUCCUUCAGCAGGGCACUGUUAACCACCUGUAACCACCAAGGACAAAACCCAACAUGGAAUUUUCAUGAUGGAAAUAAGGGCGUGUUUUAAAUAACUAAAAAUGCAGCUGUGGGGGGUUGUCUGCAAAGGGAACUUUCCCCAGUUUCAUUAUCCUACUCUUAUUGGUAUUGAAAAUGCACAGUACAAAGAAAGACAGUCAUGCUU